CUUAAACACGAGGCUUUAAAAGGAAAGAAGAGCGAGGGGAGUGGUGUGAGAAGACAUGAAGCUUAAGAACAUGGCAAUAGCUGUACUGGAUGAAAAAGCUGACUGCCUCUGGAAACAGCUGAGAAAAGACUGGAAGCCCAAGGCAAAGACAGCAGCAAAUUCUGGUGUUUUCCCAACACUUUCUCCCAGCUCUCAGUAAUCAGAAGACCUGGAACUUUCUGAGCUUUCCCAGGAGUGGUGUGAUGAGCUUACAGGCUGCUGGAGUUGUUGCAAAAGCCCCGAUUCACCAAAGUGGUGAUCCCCACAGAUUUUUGAAGGCAGUACAGGGAGCGAUGGCUCCUCAUGAAGGAGGAAUGAUCUUCUAUGAUUGCACAGGUCAGUGCAGCAGGAUGCCAUGGGGCCCAGUGCCACGUUCACUGAGGAUGCAGUGAGCACUUCAGUACUGUGACUGCUCUUUGUGAAACUUGGGCAAACGCAUGACCCAUUGCCAACACAGCAGGUGAUUUGAGGCUAAACAAGAAAGCAGUGAUGCUACCAGAUUUCCAUUGACAAGCAGGAAAAAUGAGAGUCUGAAGUUUCCUCUGCAUCUCUACUUGUGACCAUCACAUAUAAACACAAUGGCAUUCAGUGAAGCGCUGGAAGUAAAGCAGUUGCAUUUGUUCUCAGACAGGCUUAAAUACUUUCAUCUGGAUACUUCUUUUUAAAUAGCGUGUCCUUCUCUGAAGACAUGGAGCUUUUUUUUUUUUAUGUGGAGACUUAAUUGAAGCAGUGUUAUUUAUAGCAGUGAAUAUUCAUUCUUGUUAAAGGUGGUUCUGAGGGAGGCUAAUAAAUGUUCUUGUUUUCCUUUGCAUCAGCUAACGAUCUGGAAAACAAAUAUACUGCCAUUCCUGGUGAAACAUAUCAUGCAGUGCUGGAUCACAGUGGUUAAAUGUUGUAUUUUACCGUCAAUUUAUUUACCCUUCACUUCCCCCCAGUGCUUAAAGCUCCUACUGCCAUGCAUCAAGCAGAGCUGGUGGGCAGUGCACAUCCCAGAGCUGGCCACAGAGCUGGUCUGAGAAGUGAGACAAUAGAUGGAGCCAGAGAGACAAAGAAAUAACAGGAGUAAUUAGACCAGAUCCAUCAGUGUAACUGGGCCUGGUCUGGGGGUGCGUUAACGUUGUGGCACUGGUGUGAGGAGUGUCCUGUGAUGUGUAUGUGAUAUAGUGCUGAAUAUUGUUCCUGGUGACUUAUUCAAAGAAUUCUAUUUGCAGAGGGAACCAUUUCCAACUCUUGCAGGUUAUGUUGAGCUCAGAGAGAAACAGCUUUGGCAGGUCAUGAACAGACCCAUGGGGAGAUGAAAACGCUCUGAACUGCAGAAGCAGCCUCACUCGCACCUUCAUCAGUUCUCAUUUUGUAGAAGUUAAUCCCUCUGUGAGCUUUUUGCAAUGGCAUCUCGCUAUCCAUUGACGAUAAAGGAAGAGAAGGCAUAAAUUAGAAGCAUGAAUCAUAUCUCAAUUUAGCCUGUCUCUUCUGCUAAUAAAAAGCAUAGGCUUCCCAGAUACUCCUCUGCGAUCAGGCUAGGGAGGAGGGUGGCAGGAGGAACAGGAGAAAAAUGAUGGCUUUUACAGUGGACUGGUUUCUAUUUUCCUUUAAAUAACUGAAUUAUCAAUUAGAGAAUUUUAUUUUGUCUUUGUUUUGUGCCAAGAAUAUACUUAAGCUGGUUCUCUAUUUCUAAGUGGGAGGAAAACUUGCUGGUGAAGUAUCCAUGUUGUCUCAGUGAAUCCUGUGGCUCUGAUGCAGAUUUUGAUAGAGAAAAUUUUAUGCAAUAAACAGUAUUUUACAGAUGAGGAAAUAGAUAUAGAGUUUGUGGAAUGGGCUGUACGUAACCAUUGCAUCAGCAGGGGAAUAGCCUAUAGGCCCUGCUAGUUCCUCCUAGCCCUGAACUUUGCAUCUCAUGAGAUUGACAAGUGUGUUAAUAUUUGUGAGGGUUUCAGACACCAUAAUGAUGCAACAAGUAAUCAGAACAGAAGAUGCCGUUAGACAUCCAGUAAGAAUCUAGGAAUUGAAACAACAGCAGCUCCAUGUUUCUUUUCUUACAGCAGAGAGAAUGUGGGUUAGGAUUAGGUUGCAGUGUUCAGUUGACAAUAGGAAGCCAAUGCUUGUGAGAAGGCACAGAUGUCUUUUAAGUAAAUCGCAUUUUAAAAAAAAAA
Molecule: long non-coding RNA, 2189 nt
Organism: Tympanuchus pallidicinctus (lesser prairie-chicken)
Lineage: Eukaryota; Metazoa; Chordata; Aves; Galliformes; Phasianidae
Exons: 2
Source: RefSeq, a predicted model, not a curated record